GAAGGUCCAGGCGUUAUCCGGAUUUAUUGGGUUUAAAGGGAGCGUAGGCUGGAGAUUAAGUGUGUUGUGAAAUGUAGACGCUCAACGUCUGAAUUACAGCGCAUACUGGUUUCCUUGAGUACGCACAACGUUGGCGGAAUUCGUCGUGUAGCGGUGAAAUGCUUAGAUAUGACGAAGAACUCCGAUUGCGAAGGCAGCUGACGGGAGCGCAACUGACGCUUAAGCUCGAAGGUGCGGGUAUCAAACAGGAU
This 251-nucleotide unclassified non-coding RNA is filed under the name plant metagenome. RNAcentral's name for it is "partial contains 5.8S ribosomal RNA, internal transcribed spacer 2, and large subunit ribosomal RNA". It matches the Rfam family "Bacterial small subunit ribosomal RNA", at positions 528 to 778 of the family's 1533-position model. The record is from RNAcentral.